ACUAUCUUGCUGUAAAAUUGGAAGGCCGAUUAGCUACGUGGAAAAGUGAACUCCUUUCAUCUGGUGGAAGACUGAAUUUGGCGAAUUUGGUGAUGCAAAGUCAAGCGGACUUUCAUGUAAGGUCAAUUGGAGAACGGUGUGCUUACACGAGAAGGAGAGAGGCCUAGGUGUGAAAGACAUUGCUCAAUUCAACGAGCUGUUGUUUGCAAAAUGGGAUGGAGAUACCUUGCUAAAGACUCGGGCAUGCAGAGAAAGCAAAUAAAGUUCGCUUAUCAUAGGAGAAUUAAAUUGUGUCUUGGAAACGUCCUCGGUGGUGUUCCAAUCUUUGGCAAGAUGUAGUCAAAUUGCUUCCAGCCUUCUGGAAUCGAGUCCAUUUUUGUAUCAGAAAUGGGAAAAAUACUCCUUUUUGGAGGGACAGCUGGAUAUGCGGUGUGGCACUCCAAUAUGUUUUUCCUCAUCUUUACUCGUUAAGCCCCAAGAAGAAUGGUUUCAACACCUCUCCUCGCUGCUCGCUUCAGUCAAUCUCAAUUCUGAAGAAGACUGGGUCGUUUGGAAAGGCAGCAACAAUGGUAAAUUUUCUCGGCUUCUCUUUAUCUUUUCAAUAACACGAUGAAUUAAAUGCAGAUUUGCUAGCACCCUCUGGAGUCUUUGUGUGCCCCUCAAAAUAAAAUGCUUUACGUGGCUGUGUUGGAAGCACAAGCUGAAGACUAGAGAUUUAAUUGGUAGAAAGCUUCAGAAAAACUUACGAGGCAGUAUUUUUUGCCGGCAUGCAACUGAAACUCUGGAUCAUCUUUUUACUGGUUCCCUGUUUUCGGGUGCUAUUUGGAAAUUGUUGUGCCUGCUUAUGGGAGUUUUGCCAUCUUUCAAAUCUUUUGAAGAACUAUGUCUGGGUUGGACCAGAAGGAAUUUUCCAAGGACUACUGAUUGUGUGAUGUUAAUGCUUGUAGCUGCCAUGAAUUGGGCCAUCUGGAGAGAGAGGAAUUCAAGAAUUUUUCUGAACAAGCAGAAAUCCAUGACUACAAUAGCCUCAGAGGGUCUUAAUUUGUUUAAUAAUUGGUCGAUGUUUUGUAGUACAAAAAAAAAAUUGAACAUGGCAAAGUGUGGCACAAAAUCAAAAGAUUGGCUACUGUACAUUCUAAUAUUUGAAAUUCAGAAGACUAGAGUUGGAUUCAGCUAAAGAUCAUCUUCCGGAAUGCUGAAUUUCAAAGGAGUUGUUUUUUAUACAAGUUUUCUUCUCCAUGGUCCCCUAUCUUCUUCAGCCAAGUUGCUACUAUCUUGUUGUGAGCAAACUUCAUCUACCCCUGUAAUCAAAAGCUCUUUGCAACUGCCGCUAU
Phoenix dactylifera (date palm) is the source of this 1334-nucleotide non-coding RNA. Lineage: Eukaryota; Viridiplantae; Streptophyta; Magnoliopsida; Arecales; Arecaceae. The record is from RefSeq and is a predicted model, not a curated record.